This 560-nucleotide ribosomal RNA is filed under the name uncultured organism. Its description in RNAcentral is "bacterial SSU rRNA". It matches the Rfam family "Bacterial small subunit ribosomal RNA", at positions 570 to 1113 of the family's 1533-position model. The record is from RNAcentral.
CGUAGACUGUAAAAUAAGUUUUUUGUUAAAUUUUAAGACCUAAUCUUAACAUAGCAACUAAUACUAUUUUACUAUGAGUCUAAUACAGAAAAGUAGAAUUUUAUACGAUAGAGGUGAAAUUUGCAGAUAUAUAAAGGAAUGCCAAAAGCGAAGGCAACUUUUUGGUAUAGACUGACGUUGAGGGACGAAAGCGUGGGUAGCAAACGGGAUUAGAGACCCCGGUAGUCCACGCCGUAAAUUCUGAGUGCUGUAAUUUAAUUGUAAUAUUUUUUAAAUAUUAUUUAGAUUUUCAAGCUAACGCAAUAAGCACUCCGCCUGAAAAGUACGAUCGCAAGAUUGGAACUCAAAGGAAUUGACGGGGGUCUAACACUGGUGGUGGAGCAUGUGGUUUAAUGCGAUAAUCCGCGCAAAACCUUACCAAUUCUUGACAUAAUUUUAUAAUUUUGCUUAAUCUUAUUUUGUAUAGUUUAAUUAUUUAUUACAGGUGUUGCACGACUGUCGUCAGCUCGUGUCGUGAGAUGUUUGGUUAAGUCCUGAAACGGGCGUAACUCUUACUUUUA